AUGCAAUGUGGACAGUCUCUCAAGUAACCCUUGUACCUUUCCCAUGCUUGUGGUAGGGAUUCAAAUUCUUUCUAGGUAAAGUUAGCAAUUUUCCAUCUCAGCUU
Molecule: small nucleolar RNA, 104 nt
Organism: Lycium ferocissimum
Lineage: Eukaryota; Viridiplantae; Streptophyta; Magnoliopsida; Solanales; Solanaceae
Source: RefSeq, a predicted model, not a curated record